Molecule: ribosomal RNA, 501 nt
Filed under: uncultured bacterium
Lineage: Bacteria
Description: partial 16S ribosomal RNA
Rfam family: Bacterial small subunit ribosomal RNA
Source: RNAcentral
GUUGAACGCUGGCGGCAUGCCUUACACAUGCAAGUCGAACGGCAGCAGGGGUGCUUGCACCUGGUGGCGAGUGGCGAACGGGUGAGUAAUACAUCGGAACGUACCUUAUCGUGGGGGAUAACGCAGCGAAAGCUGUGCUAAUACCGCAUACGCCCUGAGGGGGAAAGCGGGGGAUCGAAAGACCUCGCGCGAUUAGAGCGGCCGAUGCCUGAUUAGCUUGUUGGUGGGGUAAAAGCCCACCAAGGCGACGAUCAGUAGCUGGUCUGAGAGGACGAUCAGCCACACUGGGACUGGGACACGGCCCAGACUCCUACGGGAGGCAGCAGUGGGGAAUUUUGGACAAUGGGGGCAACCCUGAUCCAGCAAUGCCGCGUGAGUGAAGAAGGCCUUCGGGUUGUGAAGCUCUUUUGUCAGGGAAGAAACACCGGCUCUAACACAGUCCGGGAAUGACGGUACCUGAAGAAUAAGCACCGGCUAACUACGUGCCAGCAGCCGCAGUAA